GGGUUGUGAGGUUAAGCGACUAAGCGUACACGGUGGAUGCCCUGGCAGUCAGAGGCGAUGAAGGACGUGCUAAUCUGCGAUAAGCGUCGGUAAGGUGAUAUGAACCGUUAUAACCGGCGAUUUCCGAAUGGGGAAACCCAGUGUGAUUCGUCACACUAUCAUUAACUGAAUCCAUAGGUUAAUGAGGCGAACCGGGGGAACUGAAACAUCUAAGUACCCCGAGGAAAAGAAAUCAACCGAGAUUCCCCCAGUAGCGGCGAGCGAACGGGGAGCAGCCCAGAGCCUGAAUCAGUGUGUGUGUUAGUGGAAGCGUCUGGAAAGGCGCGCGAUACAGGGUGACAGCCCCGUACACAAAAAUGCACAUGCUGUGAGCUCGAUGAGUAGGGCGGGACACGUGGUAUCCUGUCUGAAUAUGGGGGGACCAUCCUCCAAGGCUAAAUACUCCUGACUGACCGAUAGUGAACCAGUACCGUGAGGGAAAGGCGAAAAGAACCCCGGCGAGGGGAGUGAAAAAGAACCUGAAACCGUGUACGUACAAGCAGUGGGAGCACAGAGCAAUCUGUGUGACUGCGUACCUUUUGUAUAAUGGGUCAGCGACUUAUAUUCUGUAGCAAGGUUAACCGAAUAGGGGAGCCGAAGGGAAACCGAGUCUUAACUGGGCGUUAAGUUGCAGGGUAUAGACCCGAAACCCGGUGAUCUAGCCAUGGGCAGGUUGAAGGUUGGGUAACACUAACUGGAGGACCGAACCGACUAAUGUUGAAAAAUUAGCGGAUGACUUGUGGCUGGGGGUGAAAGGCCAAUCAAACCGGGAGAUAGCUGGUUCUCCCCGAAAGCUAUUUAGGUAGCGCCUCGUGAAUUCAUCUCCGGGGGUAGAGCACUGUUUCGGCAAGGGGGUCAUCCCGACUUACCAACCCGAUGCAAACUGCGAAUACCGGAGAAUGUUAUCACGGGAGACACACGGCGGGUGCUAACGUCCGUCGUGAAGAGGGAAACAACCCAGACCGCCAGCUAAGGUCCCAAAGUCAUGGUUAAGUGGGAAACGAUGUGGGAAGGCCCAGACAGCCAGGAUGUUGGCUUAGAAGCAGCCAUCAUUUAAAGAAAGCGUAAUAGCUCACUGGUCGAGUCGGCCUGCGCGGAAGAUGUAACGGGGCUAAACCAUGCACCGAAGCUGCGGCAGCGACGCUUAUGCGUUGUUGGGUAGGGGAGCGUUCUGUAAGCCUGUGAAGGUGUACUGUGAGGUAUGCUGGAGGUAUCAGAAGUGCGAAUGCUGACAUAAGUAACGAUAAAGCGGGUGAAAAGCCCGCUCGCCGGAAGACCAAGGGUUCCUGUCCAACGUUAAUCGGGGCAGGGUGAGUCGACCCCUAAGGCGAGGCCGAAAGGCGUAGUCGAUGGGAAACAGGUUAAUAUUCCUGUACUUGGUGUUACUGCGAAGGGGGGACGGAGAAGGCUAUGUUGGCCGGGCGACGGUUGUCCCGGUUUAAGCGUGUAGGCUGGUUUUCCAGGCAAAUCCGGAAAAUCAAGGCUGAGGCGUGAUGACGAGGCACUACGGUGCUGAAGCAACAAAUGCCCUGCUUCCAGGAAAAGCCUCUAAGCAUCAGGUAACAUCAAAUCGUACCCCAAACCGACACAGGUGGUCAGGUAGAGAAUACCAAGGCGCUUGAGAGAACUCGGGUGAAGGAACUAGGCAAAAUGGUGCCGUAACUUCGGGAGAAGGCACGCUGAUAUGUAGGUGAAGUCCCUCGCGGAUGGAGCUGAAAUCAGUCGAAGAUACCAGCUGGCUGCAACUGUUUAUUAAAAACACAGCACUGUGCAAACACGAAAGUGGACGUAUACGGUGUGACGCCUGCCCGGUGCCGGAAGGUUAAUUGAUGGGGUCAGCGCAAGCGAAGCUCUUGAUCGAAGCCCCGGUAAACGGCGGCCGUAACUAUAACGGUCCUAAGGUAGCGAAAUUCCUUGUCGGGUAAGUUCCGACCUGCACGAAUGGCGUAAUGAUGGCCAGGCUGUCUCCACCCGAGACUCAGUGAAAUUGAACUCGCUGUGAAGAUGCAGUGUACCCGCGGCAAGACGGAAAGACCCCGUGAACCUUUACUAUAGCUUGACACUGAACAUUGAGCCUUGAUG
Molecule: ribosomal RNA, 2121 nt
Filed under: Escherichia coli
Lineage: Bacteria; Pseudomonadati; Pseudomonadota; Gammaproteobacteria; Enterobacterales; Enterobacteriaceae
Description: partial 23S ribosomal RNA
Rfam family: Bacterial large subunit ribosomal RNA
Source: RNAcentral